Molecule: long non-coding RNA, 962 nt
Organism: Paramacrobiotus metropolitanus
Lineage: Eukaryota; Metazoa; Tardigrada; Eutardigrada; Parachela; Macrobiotidae
Exons: 2
Source: RefSeq, a predicted model, not a curated record
UGAUCGCUUUAAAGUUUAAACUGUAAAGCGGUGCCAUUCGGCAUUCUUCUUUCUUGCGUUGUGCCUGGGAUAAUUCCGCGGCGCUCAUCGCAAGGUAUCGCGCGUACUCUGUACACCAAUCAGCGCGCUGCACAGCUUGUGGCCGCCCACAUCGCCACUGUGGGUUUUGCCUCUGGCCUGGCCAUAUAGGUAAACGGCAGCUUCUGCAGUUCUGCAUCUGUAAAAUUUGUUUUUUUCCAGAACGGAAGUUAGUGCAACCUUGUAAUUCUGCUUUCGUUUUUUAACUUCUUUUGCAACUUUCAUCAGUUUGUCUUCGUACUUUGUUGGGUGUCUGUCGGAUUAUUAGGACCACAGCCACAGAAAUGGAUCCUGCCGGAGAAGCCAACCGCACCAAUCAGUGCAACCCUAACCAUGCGCUCACGGGACCGGGCCACGACGCCGGAUAUCUGGGCGCCGGAACGCAGGACGAUCUCAACAACCACGCUAAUCAGUUGAACCCGAACAACGCCAUCUUCGGCGGCGGAUUCCAGGGGCGCCGGGAUGCAGGCGGGUUUGGAUAACCGCGCCAAUCAACUGAAUCCCAACAACGCGAACUUCGGUGGCGGAGGUGAGAGCGCUGGAUAUCAGGGUGCCGGGAUGCAGGCGGCUAUGGAUAACCAUGCGAAUCAGAUGAAUCCUAACAACGCCAACUUCGGCGGCGGCCAGCAGCAGGCUAAGAAGUAGUGCGCCAAAUGUAUUGCGUUCAUCGUGUGUUGUACAAUUCGUAUUCCGGUAUUCGCAGGUGCCUGUAGCAUAAUGGUCGGCAUGUACCGCGGGUAUUUUUUCUGUAAUCAUUCCGAUAGGAUGUGCCUUUUUUGUUGGUUAGAAUGUCGAGACGAUGAAUGUUUAGAAGCUGCGUAUGUUUGAAUUGUAUUGGCGCGCUAGUUAGAAUUUCUGAAUAAAUAACUGGUCUUUUUGUACGA